AGAGUUUGAUCCUGGCUCAGGACGAACGCUGGCGGUGUGCUUCACACAUGCAAGUCGAGCGGAUGAAGUAGGUAGCUUGCUACUUAUGGAUUUAGCGGCGGACGGGUGAGUAAUAUAUAGGAAUCUGCCUUAGAGCGGGGAACAACAGACCGAAAGGUUUGCUAAUGCCCCAUAGGUAUGCAGUCUUCGGAUUGUAUAUUAAAGGAGUAAUCCACUCUAAGAUGAGCCUGUAUCCGAUUAGCUAGUUGGCGGGGUAAAGGCCCACCAAGGCUACGAUCGGUAGUUGGUCUGAGAGGAUGAUCAGCCACAAUGGGACUGAGACACGGCCCAUACUCCUACGGGAGGCAGCAGUGGGGAAUUUUACACAAUGGGGGAAACCCUGAUGUAGCGACACCGCGUGAACGAAGAAGCCUUUUGGGGUGUAAAGUUCUGUCGGCUGGAACGAAAAAAAUGACGGUACCAGCAAAGGAAGCAUCGGCUAACUACGUGCCAGCAGCCGCGGUAAGACGUAGGAUGCAAGCGUUGUCCGGAUUUAUUGGGCGUAAAGAGUUCGUAGGCGGUUAUUUAAGUCUGAUGUUAAAUACUGUGGCCCAACCACAGAACUGCAUUGGAUACUGGAUGACUUGAGUGCGGUAGAGGCAAGUGGAAUUCCCAGUGUAGCGGUGAAAUGCGUAGA
Molecule: ribosomal RNA, 676 nt
Filed under: uncultured bacterium
Lineage: Bacteria
Description: bacterial SSU rRNA
Rfam family: Bacterial small subunit ribosomal RNA
Source: RNAcentral